This is a long non-coding RNA of Oncorhynchus tshawytscha (Chinook salmon), 641 nucleotides long. NCBI's taxonomy places the organism in Eukaryota, Metazoa, Chordata, Actinopteri, Salmoniformes, Salmonidae. The record is from Ensembl.
AGUUAUCCUCGCACUUAAAUAAAGAGAGUAGAGGAAAUCACGAUGAGGGCAGACUGUGUGCACGGAGUCCUUUCCAUGGGUUGUCGAUGGUGAAAUACCUAUUUCGUUGGAGCGCAAAUAAAUAACAUUCUCGUAACAAUCAUUGUUCUACACAUUGGGGCAUUGUCAUGCUGAAACAGGAAAGGGCCUUCUACUGUUCUUCUUCUACAGGGUCACUGUCAGUCAGAGCACUUAAUGGUGAGGCCAUCAUAGACCUGCCAGAGAGAGGAGUUACAGUGUUGGGGUGCGUGCAUGCCUCUUCUGGCAGGUGAUUUUUCAACAAAGCGUGGAGGGAGACGGCCUUCUCAAAGUCACGGGCUGCUUCCUGAGGGAGAGGUACAUAACUUUUAAGCUACCCUUGGCAACACGAUGGGUCACAGCUUCAACCAGCAUCUAAGAUAUACAUUAAUUGUAAUUAUAAACUGGGUGGUUCGAGCCCUGAAUGCUGAUUGGCUGAAAGCCGUGGUGUAUCAGACUGUAUACCAUGGGUAUGACAAAGCAUGUAUUUUUUCAGCUCUAAUUACGUUGAUAACCAGUUUAUAAUAGCAAUAAGGGGUUUGUGAUAUAUUGCCAAUAUACCAUGGUUAAGGGCUGUGUCCUAC